This is a long non-coding RNA of Vigna radiata var. radiata (mung bean), 2588 nucleotides long. RefSeq lists it as uncharacterized. The record is from RefSeq and is a predicted model, not a curated record. The transcript is spliced from 4 exons. NCBI's taxonomy places the organism in Eukaryota, Viridiplantae, Streptophyta, Magnoliopsida, Fabales, Fabaceae.
UAUCGAUUGAGAUGAUACCUUUAGAAUUUUCCUAUUUGUUUCGACAUAUUUUGUUUCCUUAUUUUUGAGAAAUCAAUUAUUACAAAUAAAAGAGUUGAGACUGUAAUUGACAUAAUUGUUAUUAAUAAAAUGAUUUUAUUGUUUCGUUGAUAUUAAUCCCACGUCCAUGAUUGACAAAGCAAGCAAGUCUGUGAAGGUAGUGAAACAGUUGAUACAUCAAAGUUUGGUUGCUUUAUUUUGUCGUAAUUCAUAAUUUUCCUUGUAGAUAUGCCAACAUUGAGGUUUGAAUUAGUGGUUUUUUUAGUCCCCUUCCGAACAGCCAGUUUGCUUUUUUUGGUUCAUAAGUUUUAUUUAAAGUAAUAUUUGAAUGUUCUCUGUAAAUGCAUGAUAUGUCUUUCUUUUGCAGUCAUGUAUUAAGGUUGCAUUGGAUUUUGUUUCUCCUGAAAAUGUUGGGGAGUGCUUUCGUUUAACAGAAGAAUUUCGUAAACUUCCCAUAAGCCAUGUGUCUGCUGAGGAUAAAUUGGAGGUGAAAAAGAUGAUAAUAUAUGCUAUGCAAGAUGCGAUAACAAAAUUGGAGAAAGCAAGGACGGAAGCAGAUAUUCCCUUAACAAUCAAUGAGAAGGAGGAGGUGGAAUAAUAGAUUUUGGGUCAUUAGCUUAUUCGUGACUGGAAGAAGGGUUCCGUAUUUUGUUGUUUCAACCACACCGGGGAAGGUUUUUUUGGUUACCAUUAUACAUCUUGUAAACCUCCUAGCUUUCACAUCUAGCUUGUAUCUUCUUUAGGUGUUCAUGUGUCCUAUUACCAACUCUUAAAUACCAUUUAAUUGUAUUCUGAAGAAUGCAAUCAGAAGUAAUAUAAAUAUUAUGUUAGAUUACUAAAUCUAUUGUGACAUUCAUAUUUAGACCGUUACAAAGUCUACGUAUUAUUUUGAAACAUUAACAACGGAACAUAAAAGUGUUCUCUAUUUUUUUUCUUAUGUAACACUCGUAAUGAAAUUACAAAUAACAUUGUAACGUAUGGUUAUUAUUUGUUUUGCUUAUUUUUUAUCACGUACCAUUCGAGGUGCAGAAUGAAUAUCCUAUUUUAAGGUGUCUUGCAUUAUGUUAGAACAGGGUGUGAAGAGACAAAAUGUACUCUGAUUCUAAAGCUGUUUAAUGCUGAUGGUGGAUUAAUUAUUUUGAUAAUACGAUAAAUUUAUUUUUGUUUUCAUGUAAUAGGACUCUUACACAUUUUCUACGUUCAAUUUUAGUUAAACAGACAAAGAAUUAAGGUUCAGAAUAAACUAAUGCCUUUUUGCAUACGUAUUCUCCUUUGUGUAUGAAAGCAGAGUACGGAUGCGUCACAAUGAGCUCUGUUAGAUGUGUUAAGUAGUUCUUUUCUUGUGUCUGUUUUCGCCUUUCUGCGGCAUGCAUGGAUCUGCGUGUCUGCGUUAUGCCAGGAUUUUUUUGCUCUUCGGUGUGUAUAUAUAUACAUUGUUUGUUGGGUAAUGAUAUAUUUUUGUGAUCAUUUUUUUUUUAACUAUUCUGAUACCUUACAUGGUAACCCGGCUUCUUGCCUAAUCUUCACAUUGAUUCUAACCAAGAUGGUGAGUCUUAAAUCUUUUCAGAUUUGGACAAACUUGUUCACAAACUAUGCUUCUAAGAUACGAGAAUUACAAGUUAGAAUACUAAAGAAGGAUUAUUGUAUUGUAUUACUACCUAUCCUUUUGAUAGCAAGAAGAUAUUUUAUACGCUUGCAGCUAUAGUUGCUUCCAUUUUUUUCAAUGCUAUUCUUGGUGAAUUAUUUGUAGAAUAUGAUAAUUUUAUUGUAUUCUAACCUUAAGAACUACAAGUUAGAACACCAAAGAAAGAUUAUUGUAUUACUACAUAUCCUUUUAAUAUUAAGAAGACAGUUGAUACCCUUGUUAUUAUAGGUACUCUCAUUUCUGGUGGAGAUCACAAUAAUGCUAUUCUUGGUGAAUUGUUUGAGGAAUAUGAUCAUUUUAGUGUAUUCUAACUUGAACAACUACAAGUUAGAAUACCAAAGUAGGAUUAAUGCUACAUGUAUUCCUAUUUCUGCUGAAGAUCAUAUUGAUGAUUGAUGUUGUUCUUAGUGAAUUGUUUGACGAAUCCGACGAUUUAUUACUUGUUAUUUCAUGUACGGACCCUUGUGUUGUUGAAGAAAUUGAGGUUCUUGAAGAUCGAGUUGAUAUAAUUCUUGAUGAUGUAUUUAAAGAUUGUGAUAUCAUUUUAUUACUGUACUGUAUGGUGAUACAGAUCUAUAGAGCGGUCUGCCGGAUACAACUGCAAGAGAGGGGAUGACUAAUCUGAAUGAGCUGCAAUCAAUACUGUCAGGUUGGAACCAUUUGGUUGGAGAUGAAGACCAAUCGUCUAUGUUGUUUACUAAUCUUGAUGGAUGAAGAUAAAGAAGAGUGUUUCCACAGGAAAAAUGAAGAUGUAGAAACAUGAAGAAAUGGACCUAUUCGAUUAUAGAAGAAUCGUACUCGAUUUCACUUCAUCACACAAAAGUGAAGGGGGCUUUGUAUUUGUUCCCUGAUCUUGGAUUCUCUUACCUUCCAUCUACUAAUGCAAACAAAGUUCUACAGUAAA